CCUACGGGGGGCAGCAGUGGGGAAUAUUGGGCAAUGGGCGCAAGCCUGACCCAGCAACGCCGCGUGAAGGAAGAAGGCUUUCGGGUUGUAAACUUCUUUUCUGAUGGACGCAGAAAGUGACGGUACCUCAGUAAGAAGCCACGGCUAACUACGUGCCAGAAGCCGCGGUAAUACGUAGGUGGCAAGCUUGAUCCGGAUUUAUUGGGUGUAAAGGGCGUGUAGGCGGGAACGAAAGUGAGAUGUGAAAACUCAGGGCUCAACCCUGAGCCUGCAUUUGAAACUGUUUUUCUUGAGUGCUGGAGAGGCAAUCGGAAUUCCGUGUGUAGCGGUGAAAUGCGUAGAUAUACGGAGGAACACCAGUGGCGAAGGCGGAUUGCUGGACAGUAACUGACGCUGAGGCGCGAAAGCGUGGGGAGCAAACAGGAUUAGAUACCCGGGUAGUC
This 443-nucleotide ribosomal RNA is filed under the name uncultured bacterium. Its description in RNAcentral is "partial 16S ribosomal RNA". It matches the Rfam family "Bacterial small subunit ribosomal RNA", at positions 338 to 795 of the family's 1533-position model. The record is from RNAcentral.